Molecule: ribosomal RNA, 173 nt
Filed under: Acartia tonsa
Lineage: Eukaryota; Metazoa; Arthropoda; Copepoda; Calanoida; Acartiidae
Description: partial large subunit ribosomal RNA
Source: RNAcentral
GCAAACAAUUAUUUUAAUAAGGGCUUAAAUAAUUAUAACGCUGUUAUCCCUAGAGUACCUUAUUCGUCUAAUUUAAUAAAGAUCAUUCGUUAAUAUAAAUAGUCCUAUUUAAAUUUACCCCAAAUAAACUUGUGUAUAAUUAUUACUUCAUUAAUUAAGUAAAGGUUCAUAGG